GCAGCACAUCAGCCAGCCGUGGGUAAAAGACAGUGCUUACACCUAAAAGAGCAAUUUGAAAUCAAUGCUGAUUAAUUGCAGGGGUCAUCCAAUCAGGGAGGAUGCAAUUUAGAGAAGACUAAUGGUCUUGGGGUUAAGGAACUUGCUGCCUUCUCAGGUGAUUUCAGUUUAAUUAUUGCUUCAGUUCUUGACUUCCUAAUUAAGUCAAUUAAUCUCUCCUGUUCUGUGAACUUCAUCUCUAGAAGAGGCUAAUUGCAGCUGACUCUUUCGCCUUUUUAGUUUUUCAGUUCUUUGUGGUAAGAAUUAAUUGUUCCUGUUUUAUUUUUAUCCUUGCUGGGAUUUAGACCUCUGUACCGGUUAAGAUAAGCCAUAAUAUAGGACUAAUUUUUAUUUCCUGGGAGACGUUCACCAAAGUUGUCAGAGUGGAGAAAAAUGGACAUCUCUAUAGGCCAGGUCUCACAGUUCUUAAAUUCAGGUAUUGCUUUAGAUGAAAGACUUGGAUGUUCAUGCAGAGUGUUCGGCAUAAGCCUGACAGAUGUGCAGCCCUGGCCUAUGCACCAGGUAGUUCAAGGUGUCCCUGCACAGUGCUGUGUUCCUGGAGGAACUAGCUGUCCAGGGCUGAUUAUAAAAGUAAUUACAUGAUGGUUGCCAGUGCUGACCCUCUCUGACUGUCAGGCACUGAAAACUGAUGAACAAGAAUUACAGUCAUCCAAAUGCAUACAGAAAAGUUGUGAAUUUCUGAAUUCUUUUGCAGACAUCUGAGAAAAGAGGCAAAAGUUGCCAGGCAAGAAAUCUAUCAUCUAAAAAAGAGCAAACCCAAAAUCGUUUGAUGAACUUUUACAGAGGAUUCUGCAGUUGGGAGUGGACUGGCUUUACUUUGCUCAUAGCUGGGGCACAGCAGUGGAGGGUGAGAGACUUUGUCAAAGUCUGUUUCAACCCACAGAAACCUAUGAGGACUUUCAGGGAGCUGGCCAGGAGCAAGCCUAAAGUGUUCCUUACAGUGUGUUCACGGUAGGUUAGACAAGAUCAGUAAUUGUCCUUUCUAAGACAUACCAUUUGAAUGGAAGAGAGAGAUAAACAAGGAGGCAACAGAGGAGGCAUUUGGGAAAGAACUAUCUGCAGCCAGCACACUCCAAAGCCACAGGGAGUUAAAUAUGGGCAGAGCAAAUCUUUUAUCUUUUUGACAUUAAGAAAUUCCAUCUGGAGCUUUCAGCACAAAGGGAAGGCUAGAGAAGAGGGGCUAUGGUCUUAGAUAAACAGCCAACAAAAAGAACAAUAUGUAAGCAGAGAAUCUAACAGAUGUGGAAAAGGGGAUUAAGUAGUGAAGAAGAUAACGUAUUACAGCUUAUAAAUUGUGAGGAAGGAUUGUGAGACACCAAGAUGAGUGAGACUUGGCAAAAGGAAUUAAAUAACAAAAACUUUUGGAACAGAGUGAACAAAAGAGAAGAAGGAGGGAAAGAAUAAAUAAGGUUGCUGUGCAGUUAGCAGGCAUUCCAGGUGGAAGAUUAUUUGUGUGUGGUCUCAGCAUUAUACUGAGCCCUGAGUCUGUGCUACCAUGUUUUCUUCUCUCCUAAGGAUAAUUCUGCAGAGCAGGGAGAGGGCUAACCAAAAGAUAGCCUCAUGCUCAGUGGGGCAGAUGAUCUCAAUCCCAAAUAUGUGUCAAAAAUCAGUCAUGUGACAUUGCAACUUAAUGAGGCAACAAUUUGAUGAAUUUAUUUGAAGCAUGUUUCUGUGGGACAGAAACAAUUGUAAACUUCAUAAAUAGAAUAGGGGGUACAGCACAACCUACCUGUUGUUCUGCUGUACCUGUUGUUCUCCUAACAUGGAUAAACUAGGAGGCUUUCAAAAAACUCUUCAAGAAAAAUUAUUUUAAACAAAGACAAAAUUGAGUAAAACAUGUUGGUAGACUUGCUCUGUAGCCAAGAGCUUUAUUUCUUUGCCAACUGAAUUGGUUGGCCAGAUAAGAGAAAUGGGAACAUGCGUGUCUGAUCUUUUCUUCCAGCCAUUGGAAGCACCUGCAAGGUAGAGUUGUGCCAUUUGGACUUCAUUGAUGCUUUGGAAAUAACAUUAGAGGGACAUUAAUUAGCUCAAUAUGAGGAGAGGGCAAAUAGCACACAUAUUGUUAGAUUAAAAAAAUUGACUGAAAAGGAGAUAAAUGAGAUAAGAACAGCCUGAAAGAAGAUCUGUGGGGCUGGAAGUUGCCAGCAUGGUCCCAUCGUUAAGCUUCCGUCUUUUGUUUCGUAUUUUCCUGAAUCAUCGAGGCAUUGAAAAUAGGGAGUUGUUACUGAAAUGUGCUGCUGGCACAGCCAUGGGAAGGUCUGAAUGAUCACAUGGGGAGUAUUAUGUGAGGUGCCACCUGCAGAGGUAUCAGUGACAGGAAGUAUAACACUAUGGAGAGCAAACUGGAAUGCGUAUUAACCCAAAACACUGAACUGCUUGUGUUUCUCCUACAAGCUGAUGAGCCACAUUUGGAAGCAGUAGAAGAGGAUAAGAUUUGGAUUAAUUAGUUGGGUACAGGAACAUCACAUGUGAUUUAGCUUAGCAACAGCCUUGGCAAUUCCUGGUAGGAGAUGCCACUUCUUUAUCCAGAAGCCUGCUAGACACCUAGAGCUGUUUCUAGGGUGGCCAAGACAGAGAAGAGUGUAUCUAAUGGGCUCUUACUGGGUUUAGGCUAAGGAUGUGAGGUUGUUGGGUUUGCAAUCAGUCUGUUGGAGCAAUAGCAGACGGACAGAAAAACUAUUUCAGCCAUAGCGCAGUGUUAGCUCAAGGAUAAAUUGUGUAUGGACUGAUUGUGAUGAUCUGAACACUGGAAAAUUAAUAUUCCUCCUCACAUGAGCCAGGAGGUGCUUCAGUGGGAGGUUUCAUGACAGGAAUCCAAACUGUUUCUCAGAUGGAUGCUUUUUUGAAAGGCAGUUUAUGAAAUGAUUACUGAGGUAUCUGGGGCCCAAGCUCUGUAGUCCUAGGGUUCCUUCCUGGAGUUUCUGACAGUGACUGCAUCAAUCUGGCCUGGAAUAUUCUCUGUUUCACAUGGGACGGGAGCAGAUGUAUCCUCUUCCCUGUUCAGAUUCCAGCUGCAUCCAGUCUUGCCUUCCAGUCCUGUGUUUCUCUGCUCUUGACCUAGCAGAGAGAGAUUAUAAAGCUUCCUCAGCCACUUGAGAGCACUUCUUAGGCAGUCCAAGGGAUUGUGGUUAUGCAGUUUCAGCUCUUUUUCUCAGCUGAACACCCACAUAUGUGAAUAAAUGCAGUUUCUACAGAAUUCUCCAUAUUUCACCCACAGAGUGCAAGCACUGGUCUCUGACUCCAACAGAGUUUUGAAUCUCUGGAGCAAGAAAGUCUCCCUAUAGAUCAAAGUCAAAACUGCUCUAAACUGAGUGUUUUUUCAGAUCUCCUCAGCUCCUACCUGAAGAAUUGUUUAAGGGUGGUGAGUUGUCAGUCUCCAAUAAGAGAGGGGUACAGACCUAUUUUAAGGUGUGUGAACAGUCUAGAGAAGUGAUAAUGAUCAUGGUGCCUGGGACACCUG
This is a long non-coding RNA of Parus major (Great Tit), 3520 nucleotides long. RefSeq lists it as uncharacterized. The record is from RefSeq and is a predicted model, not a curated record. The transcript is spliced from 2 exons. Lineage: Eukaryota; Metazoa; Chordata; Aves; Passeriformes; Paridae.